CCUACGGGAGGCAGCAGUAAGGAAUGUUGGUCAAUGGACGAAAGUCUGAACCAGCCAUGCCGCGUGAAGGAUGAAGGCCCUCUGGGUUGUAAACUUCUUUUAUAGGGGACGAAAAAAGGGAAUUCUUUCCCACUUGACGGUACCCUAGGAAUAAGCACCGGCUAACUCCGUGCCAGCAGCCGCGGUAAUACGGAGGGUGCAAGCGUUAUCCGGAUUUACUGGGUUUAAAGGGUGCGUAGGUGGGCAGUUAAGUCAGUGGUGAAAUCUCCGAGCUUAACUCGGAAACUGCCAUUGAUACUAUCUGUCUUGAAUAUCCUGGAGGUGAGCGGAAUAUGUCAUGUAGCGGUGAAAUGCUUAGAUAUGACAUAGAACACCAAUUGCGAAGGCAGCUCACUACGGGAUUAUUGACACUGAGGCACGAAAGCGUGGGGAUCAAACAGGAUUAGAUACCCUGGUAGUCCACGCCCUAAACUAUGGAUACUCGACAUCAGCGAUACACUGUUGGUGUCUGAGCGAAAGCAUUAAGUAUCCCACCUGGAAGUACGAUCGCAAGAUUGAAACUCAAAGGAAUUGACGGCNGAGAGNGCGACGACGACGACGAGGGAGGAGG
This 610-nucleotide ribosomal RNA is filed under the name uncultured bacterium. RNAcentral describes it as "bacterial SSU rRNA". It matches the Rfam family "Bacterial small subunit ribosomal RNA", at positions 338 to 951 of the family's 1533-position model. The record is from RNAcentral.